RNAcentral lists this ribosomal RNA (855 nucleotides) under uncultured bacterium. RNAcentral describes it as "bacterial SSU rRNA". It matches the Rfam family "Bacterial small subunit ribosomal RNA", at positions 28 to 878 of the family's 1533-position model. The record is from RNAcentral.
AUUGAACGCUAGCGGCAUGCUUAACACAUGCAAGUCGAACGGCAGCACGGGCUUCGGCCUGGUGGCGAGUGGCGGACGGGUGAGUAAUGCAUAGGAAUCUGCCUGGCAAUGGGGGACAACUUGGGGAAACUCAAGCUAAUACCGCAUACGCCCUACGGGGGAAAGCGGGGGAUCUUCGGACCUCGCGUUGUCAGAUGAGCCUAUGUCCGAUUAGCUAGUUGGUGAGGUAAGGGCUCACCAAGGCGACGAUCGGUAGCUGGUCUGAGAGGACGACCAGCCACACUGGGACUGAGACACGGCCCAGACUCCUACGGGAGGCAGCAGUGGGGAAUAUUGGACAAUGGGGGCAACCCUGAUCCAGCAAUGCCGCGUGGGUGAGGAAGGCCUGCGGGUUGUAAAGCCCUUUCAGUAGGGAGGAAAAGCUGAAGGAUAAUACCUUUCAGUGUUGACGUUACCUACAGAAGAAGCACCGGCUAACUCUGUGCCAGCAGCCGCGGUAAUACAGAGGGUGCAAGCGUUAAUCGGAAUUACUGGGCGUAAAGCGCACGUAGGUGGUUUGAUAAGUCGGAUGUGAAAGCCCCGGGCUCAACCUGGGAAUUGCAUUCGAUACUGUCUGACUAGAGUAUGGUAGAGGGGGGUAGAAUUCCAGGUGUAGCGGUGAAAUGCGUAGAUAUCGGGAGGAAUACCAGUGGCGAAGGCGGCCCCCUGGACCAAUACUGACACUGAGGUGCGAAAGCGUGGGUAGCAAACAGGAUUAGAUACCCUGGUAGUCCACGCCGUAAACGAUGUCAACUAGACGUUGGGGAGAUUAAACUUCUUAGUGUCGCAGCUAACGCGAUAAGUGACCGCCUGGGA